RNAcentral lists this ribosomal RNA (253 nucleotides) under uncultured bacterium. RNAcentral describes it as "partial 16S ribosomal RNA". It matches the Rfam family "Bacterial small subunit ribosomal RNA", at positions 524 to 776 of the family's 1533-position model. The record is from RNAcentral.
UACGGGGGGGGUAAGCGUUGUUCGGAAUUACUGGGCGUAAAGGGCUCGUAGGCGGCCAACUAAGUCAGACGUGAAAUCCCUCAGCUUAACUGGGGAACUGCGUCUGAUACUGGAUGGCUUGGAUUUGGGAGAGGGAUGCGGAAUUCCAGGUGUAGCGGUGAAAUGCGUAGAUAUCUGGAGGAACACCGGUGGCGAAGGCGGCAUCCUGGACCAACAUUGGCGCUGAGGAGCGAAAGCCAGGGGAGCAAACGGG